UAAUAAGUGUUUUAUGGCACUUUUUAAAUCCAUAUCCACCUUGUGUGCAAUGUCGGUCGAUCUUUUUUUGAGGAUCGACCAAACAUCAACCUUUAUUUUUAACUCUUUGUCUGAAAAAUAUUAUGAAUAAACAAUUCAAAAUA
RNAcentral lists this unclassified non-coding RNA (143 nucleotides) under soil metagenome. Its description in RNAcentral is "partial internal transcribed spacer 1". The record is from RNAcentral.